UGUCAAGUUGAAACAGCAAUUGGUGUAUUUGUGUGAGUGCAAUACCAUCUCCACCCAGCUGGCACGUGGCCUACAGAAAAUCAAGCACACCCGUCUUUCACUCAGGCCUUCAAGAGCUAUAAGUCUACUCAGCACACCUGUGUUGAAAGAACCUCUACAAACAAAGACCUCAUCUUCAAGCUCCUGCAGAAACACCACUGGUUUUCAACCUGCUUGGGUGUCAUGUAUUGAAAAGUACAAGGAUUUAAAGAAAAAAAA
Molecule: long non-coding RNA, 258 nt
Organism: Fundulus heteroclitus (mummichog)
Lineage: Eukaryota; Metazoa; Chordata; Actinopteri; Cyprinodontiformes; Fundulidae
Exons: 2
Source: RefSeq, a predicted model, not a curated record